This 1142-nucleotide ribosomal RNA is filed under the name Omadius cf. diversipes NLG-2013. RNAcentral's name for it is "eukaryotic LSU rRNA". It matches the Rfam family "Eukaryotic large subunit ribosomal RNA", at positions 52 to 938 of the family's 3401-position model. The record is from RNAcentral. Lineage: Eukaryota; Metazoa; Arthropoda; Insecta; Coleoptera; Cleridae.
GGAGGAAAGAAACUAACUAGGAUUCCCUUAGUAGCUGCGAGCGAACAGGGAAGAGCCCAGCACCGAAUCCCGCGGCCGGUCUCGGACGCAGGGAAAUGUGGUGUUAGGGAGAGGCGACAUGCCUCGCGAUUUGGCGGUGCGUCCAAGUCCUUCUUGAACGGGGCCCCUACCCACAGAGGGUGCCAGGCCCGUAGCGACCGCUGCCGAUCGCGAGGUGACCUUUCCUAAGAGUCGGGUUGCUUGAGAGUGCAGCCCUAAGUGGGUGGUAAACUCCAUCUAAGGCUAAAUAUGACCACGAGACCGAUAGCGAACAAGUACCGUGAGGGAAAGUUGAAAAGAACUUUGAAGAGAGAGUUCAAUAGUACGUGAAACCGUUCAGGGGUAAACCUGAGAAACCCGAAAGGUCGAAAGGGGAGAUUCAUUCGCGUCUCGUCCGCUAGGUCGUGAACAUGCGCGACGGAUGGCCACGUGUCGUUCGCGCCUUGCUCUCGACCAGAUGCGGGCGAACGUGUGCACUUCUCCCCCGGUAGGACGUCGCGAUCCGUUGGGUGUCGGUCUAAGGCUCGCGGUGGAGCCCGUUCGACGGCUUGCCGUUCGUACGGACCCGCGGUGUCCCGGCCGGCCCGCUCGACGGUAUACAGAUGGCGCGGGGCCGCGAUUCAGUUCGCGUCCGGCCCGCGGCAAGCGCUCCGUGUGCGUCGGCGAUCGGACCUAGUGCCGGUUCCGUCCCACGUAGGCUGUUGGCUGCGGUGUUCUCGGACAGACCUCGUUGAAACGCCGAUCUGCGACGCUAUAGCUUUGGGUACUUUCAGGACCCGUCUUGAAACACGGACCAAGGAGUCUAGCAUGUGCGCGAGUCAUUGGGAACGAAUAAACCUAAAGGCGCAAUGAAAGUGAAGGUCAGCCUUGCGCGGACCGAGGGAAGAUGGGGCGGUCGCGGUUUCCGCGCCGCUCCGCAUUCCCGGGGCGUCUCGUUCUCAUCGCGAGAAGAGGCGCACCAAGAGCGUACACGCUGGGACCCGAAAGAUGGUGAACUAUGCCUGGUCAGGACGAAGUCAGGGGAAACCCUGAUGGAGGUCCGUAGCGAUUCUGACGUGCAAAUCGAUCGUCGGAACUGGGUAUAGGGGCGAAAGACUAAUCGA